RNAcentral lists this ribosomal RNA (468 nucleotides) under uncultured bacterium. RNAcentral describes it as "partial 16S ribosomal RNA". It matches the Rfam family "Bacterial small subunit ribosomal RNA", at positions 28 to 507 of the family's 1533-position model. The record is from RNAcentral.
GACGAACGCUGGCGGCGUGCUUAACACAUGCAAGUCGAACGGAAAGGCCCUGCUUUUGUGGGGUGCUCGAGUGGCGAACGGGUGAGUAACACGUGAGUAACCUGCCCUUGACUUUGGGAUAACUUCAGGAAACUGGGGCUAAUACCGGAUAGGAGCUCCUGCUGCAUGGUGGGGGUUGGAAAGUUUCGGCGGUUGGGGAUGGACUCGCGGCUUAUCAGCUUGUUGGUGGGGUAGUGGCUUACCAAGGCUUUGACGGGUAGCCGGCCUGAGAGGGUGACCGGCGACAUUGGGACUGAGAUACGGCCCAGACUGCUACGGGAGGCAGCAGGGGGGAAUAUUGCACAAUGGGCGGAAGCCUGAUGCAGCAACGCCGCGUGCGGGAUGACGGCCUUCGGGUUGUAAACCGCUUUCGCCUGUGACGAAGCGUGAGUGACGGUAAUGGGUAAAGAAGCACCGGCUAACUACGUG